AAUUCUCAACCUUCAGCUUUAUUGUUGAAGGCUUGGACUUGGAGGUCGUGCCGGCUCUCGUAGUCGGCUCCUCUGAAAUGCAUUAGUGCGAACGUUACCAGCCGCUUCAGCGUGAUAAUUAUCUGCGUUGCUGUGGAGGGUAUUCUAGUGUUCACGCUUCUGACCGUCUUCGGACAAAUUUCUGAA
Molecule: unclassified non-coding RNA, 186 nt
Filed under: uncultured Agaricomycetes
Lineage: Eukaryota; Fungi; Basidiomycota; Agaricomycetes
Description: sequence contains ITS2
Source: RNAcentral